Tyto alba (common barn owl) is the source of this 6994-nucleotide long non-coding RNA. RefSeq lists it as uncharacterized. The record is from RefSeq and is a predicted model, not a curated record. The transcript has 8 exons. Lineage: Eukaryota; Metazoa; Chordata; Aves; Strigiformes; Tytonidae.
AGCGCAGCUUACACACGCAGCAUAUGCGUUUGAUUUGUAAAUUACGUGCUGCCGGGUGACACAGAACGGUUACGGCCUCAAAAAACGGUGCUUUGCUUGCUGCGAAAGCCAGGGCGGCCGCAAAAUGUCUCCUUUUCAAGGCCCUCCUUUCACGCAGCGUAUUCCGUGUCCUGCAGACAAGGCCGCUGGGCGCGGGCAGGCGACGGUUUUGAGGGACGCCGUUCCCCUCCAGCAUCGCUGCGCGCCGCUCGAAGCUGGAACUGCUCAGCCAAAACGCCUAAAUGCUUUCUAAUUAAGUUUAUCAUUAAAAUAUUAAAAUGAAUUUGAUUUUUUUUUGCCUUCCAUACCUCAUCCUGUCCCCAGGCUGCUUCAGUCAGUUUGCUAUUGUUAGUCAUGGCAUAACCUUCUAGAAAUUACUGUGUGUUGCCUUUCAGCGACUUCAUUAAAAUGCGUUCCUGCCAGAGAGCUCUUUACCCAUACAUAUUAAUAAGGCUUCGAAGCGAUAAUUAAGCGAUGACUAAUAUGUUUGUGAAUCAGAUAGGACUGCCUUUGAUGCUGUGCUCCCUUGUACCAAGAACCACAAUGCAGGUGGAGCUGUGGGAAGUGGUGCUGCUGCCCUGGGUGGCUUCAGCUGCCGUGGGAUGUUCCAGCAUCUCUCCUGCUGUCGCAGACCCUGCAGCAGCGGCAUGAAGUUUGAGAAACUUGCAAAGAGCUGAAGAUGAGAGACAGAAGACACUUUGCAGCUUUAUAUAGAUCUUUUGCAUUUCCUGUGGGAUUUUAUGUGAAUUUUUGUGCUCUCUGUGGUGCAGGUGAUAAUGGGGAAGGAAAGAGUGGUGACAGAAAUAUUCAUGUAAAGCAGAAUACAUUUGAGGAGGUCUGAACUUCAAAGAGGUGUUACUGAUGGUAGCGAAAAUUCUGAGUGCUCAGUUUGCUGAAGAAGGAAUUGCUGGUGCAAAUGCCUGAAUAUGUAUUUAAAGUGACAUUUGGGCUUCCCAUUUUUUCUGGGGUUUGUUUGGAUUCAUAAAAUUCUUUUGUAUUCUCUUCUGUGAUUGUAUCAGAGGGGCUACUGUUCAAUUAUAAUUUUCAUGCUUCUUAAUUCAUUUUUCAUAAUUAAGUGUUAGACUUCCAUAAGAUACAUUAUCUCUAAAAUGCUAGCAUUGCAUAGCAAUUGCGUUUUAUGUGAUGUUAGUUUACAGAAUUUUUUUAAAACACCUUUUGCAGGUAAUGUGUCAGCUUACAUUAUUUUACAGGCUUUCCAGUAGUUAGAAUCUGUGCUCACAAUCAGAAUAUGCUCUAUGUAAUAUAAGUUGCUUUUACUCAGGCUUAAAGGGGGAUUAAACAUUCUCAUGAAAGCUGAACACUGCUUGCUCGGAGUAAAGGAAGAAGAAACACUCUGCAUUUCAGCCUCCACGUGUAUCUAAGUAAAUGUUUAUCACAAAGAGAAGGCAUCAGUCACCAGGUGUUUUUGUACUGGGAGGCAGCCUGGGAUAAAUAACAAAUCCUGUAAUUAGGCGCCAAUAGAUUCUAAUUGAUUUAUGUUAGUCCUCAAGCUGCAAUCUAGCCUUUCUCUCUUGUCAUGGCACGGCGCAUCCUUUGUUUGAUGAACACUGAAGGGAAAUCCAGUGAGGUAAGAAAAAAUAGCUCAUCUGAAUGGAUGCAGCCUUGUGCAAGUGUUUGAAGUUGUUAUUCUAAGUGCUUAUUUUAGCAACUUUUGAGCUGAACGUUUAGAAUAUAUAGAGUAGCAUUUAGGAAAAAUGUUAAUGUGGUUGCUUACUUUAACAUGAGCUGCAGCUCUGCCAGCAAAGAUGAGACAUGCCAUUUAAGGAACACUGAAGCUUUGAGUGAAGUUUUUAGUCAACUUUAUUUAGAAACUUGCUGGAGUGCACCGGAUGCUGGGGGAAACCAGAACACACUUUUUGGAUUGUCAGACCAAAGGCAGGAAGGUUCCCACAGAGCCCUCCUCCUUAUGUAGCUUCUGUUUCUUAUUUAGAUUUUGUUUUUUAAUACCCAAGAGCUUUUAGUGGUGUUCUGACAAUUGUGGCCUGGAAAUUUGUCUAAAUUAAAGCAGGUUUUGUUUGUUUACUUAGAAGUGCUAACAGACUCAGACAGUCCCACAGCAUUUUUCAGGGCUUACAUCAUUCUAAAAUAGAUUCAAUUGAUUCAAAACAAAUUUGGCGAAAAAGUAAUUUUCUUUGUCCACUUGAUGUAUUUGCAUCUAUACAAAAGGAACAGGUGAGCCUUGGCAGGUAUGCUGAGCGCAGUAUCUGGAAUUGAUAGGAAAUGUUAAGAAGCUUAUUUUAGUUGAUGGAAGAUACAAGAGAACACAAGGAGUUAAAUGAACUAGUCUGAAGAUGUGAGACUAAAUGGGGGAGAAGUGGGGAUCCCCUGCUAAUGUAAGUAGAUGUAAAUUCCGCUGAGGGUAUAUCAGGUGAAGGGCUACCUCCACACCAUUUAGCUUCUUAUUUUGGAUGAUUUGAGAUUUUAUGAAUCCCCACAUCAAGAGAAAUGUGAAGAGCCAGCUAUGCCUUCACCAACUGUGUGAAAAGUUGAGCAUGAUCAGUUGAGUCAUGGACGUUUUCUUCACAUUUGUUCAUUACAGCUAUACGAGACAGUAGCUGUAUUAUCACAACACCUGUAACAAAUACGUAUUGGCAUCAGACCCUUAUCCACAUUUAUUUCUCGCAUAACUAAACACAAGAUCACAGUGGUUUUUAACUCCAGUUUAGCCUUCCCGGACGCUCAGUCAGCCCCCAGGAAAAGCACGUGAGAACUGCUGUGAGAGAGGGAAGCUGCUUCGCCGUCCAGGACCGCUUGCUGUGCUGCUCCUGCCACUUCACUGCCGCUUUUUGGGGGGACAGAUGCAUGAGCCGGGGUGCCCCAACAGCCGUACAGAAAGGAGAGAUGGGACCAGAGUCUGUCCUGAUUUGCACUGGUACGAGCUGAAAACAACAGAGUUGGAUUCUGAGAAUCCAGGACCUUGGUGGGUACACUAAAUCUACUUGAAGAACCUGAUGGUCCUUGCGGGUGCUCGGGCUGGGGCAGCGGAUGGAGCCACCAGCCUUGCUGGGAGGGAAGAGGAGCCCAGGCAGAACGGUCGAUGCCAACGUUUGUGUUCAUCCAGCAGCGGGCAGGAGAGUGGCUCUGGAGGCAGGACGAGCCCCCCAGAGGCGUCCUGGGCCUCGGGAUGGCAUGCCUUUUUGCGUGGUUUCACUCUACGGUACCACAAAAAGCUUUACCAGCAUGGAGCAGGGCUGGCGAGAGGGGAGGCUGCCUCAGCUGAUGCUGCUGCCAUCAGAAAUGUCUUUGGAACCGGGGACAAGUAAUCAGGAGGUUACAAACCUGGGGCAAGGCAGUCUGCCAGCCUGGAUGGACGCUUGAAGCCAUUCUGAUGUUUCCCUGCUCCUGCACGUGGUGUCUACUUGGAUGUACAGUUCCUUGGAGGCCCUUAACCCAACUGCACCGUGGCUGAGCUGGUAUCGGUGGUGUCCGACACUGGAGGGGAUGAAAUCACAGACGUGUAGGUAAAGAAAUGCCAGACUGGAAUGGUCUUUGUAAAGGAAAGCCGUGAUAUUACGGUAGAUGCCAGAAGUAGCAAGUUUUGGAUAGGGUUUGAUGUGGAGGUUCAGCACGAGGCAAGAAGCUCUACGAGAGGUGGAGUGACCGUGGUAGAAGCCAUCGCAGAGGUGUGAUGCGAGGUGGGAGAUUCAGUCCAAAGGACGGUGGCUGAGGAAAGGCCCGGCUAUAGAGAGAGUCCUGAGACAAAAGAGUGGAGCUCCGAGCUUGCAUUUCCAUGAGGAUUGAGAAGAGGCAAGAACUGUCAAAGUGGUCCACGGGAGAGUUGUGAGAGGCUGAGCACAACUUUAGUUGACGAUGUGUGGUCCGCUGCGAGCUGAUCACACAAACUCACGCUUGUCAAAAAUACCAGGGAUGCCAUUUGAAUAGGUACAGCAAAUUUAGACUGGGCCAGCACGGUAUAUUGCCAGCCCUCAACUGUGGACUAGCGAAACCUUCCGAGUGACCUGAGUUAUGUGGCUUUUGAGCUGUGGCUUUUUUAAAAUGGAUUUUGUAGGGGUGGUGGGUGUUAGGAGCGUUUUUGAUGAGAGAACUCUUUUGGGCCUCCAGAUGAUUACUUAAUCAAUCAAAUAGAAGGAUUCAAGUAGAGCUGUACUUCCUGCCAGUUGAUCAUUAUGUUAUGGAAGAGGUUUGGAUAGAAGAACUUGGAAAUUUAGUGAUAGACUAAUGAGGAAUCUGCCCUAGGCUUCUUCAGAUAUCCCGCUGCAAAAACUCUGCCUCUUGAUGAUUGGAUUAACGGUUGAAAGAGACAGCUUGGCAGACUCAAAUAAAAGGCUUUCCACAGAUUUGCUUUGGAGGGCUUGAGCCUCUUAACCACAUGGUAAUUGUAAAGACUAUAAAUAAAACUCAAAAAUCUAGUUUAAGCAGUCUUUAAUAAAUCAUUUUAAUGCACUGUUAUUGGCCCCUCCUUCAGGAUAUCACAAGUCUGCACUUUCAGUCUGACAAGCUAAAAUGUGCUCUGUCAAAUUAUCAGCUCGGGUUUUUCUCACAUACUUAAGGGAAGCCUUGAUGCCCCCACUGAAGCUCCAUCCUGAUGCGAGGGAGGGUUUGUCAUCUGAUUGAAAGCAUAUCAGGGAAGAGCCAUCGGGAGAGUUAUUUGGGACUGGUAUCUCGAAGUUUUUCAAAUGCGGGUCCUCACCCGAUGAAUUAUGGCUUUUCUUGCCCAGUUCCUUACUGAGACAGGCAGGACUUGGUGGGGCACAGGACAGAGGGACAGCUGAGUGGAGAUGGUGGCUCUGAAGGACCUAAGCUGGACACUGGCACUCACCCAGUGCUGCUGAGGAGGUACCGAGUGGCUGGGAGCGGGCCUUUGGGGUGGACUGUAUAGCUCUGCUGUUCUCACCUAUUUGUGGUCCUUGUGUGCUUUAAGAUUAAAAUCCGGGUGGCUAGGUAAGUCCCUUGGUACGUUUUUGUUCCUUUCUUUCUUGCCAUGUUGUCAUCAAAGAAAUUGUGUGAGGAGUCCACGACUCCUGGCAGAGAUGGAGCUUGGGGUUGCCUGUGUAAAGCCUGAAGAACAGCAUGGGAUCUCAGAUCUAGCAGGCUGGGUGGCACUUAAGUAAAAGGUGUCACGCAGGGGGAAAAAAAAAAAAAAUUUAAGCCUAGCUCUGCAUUCCCAGAAACAGUGGCAAAAUUCGGCCUUCCUGGUUCCUGAUAAGUGGAUGAAUGUUUAGCCUUGAACUACAAUGAGGCUUGGAAAUCACUCAAAAUAUUUACAUUAUGGAGUAGGGCUUGCUUAAGAUGAAAUAUUGCAUACCUGUCGAUUUUCUUCCUAAUCCUAACCACAAUGGGCAGUGAAAAGUUGCAGAUCUCUGUCUACUCACCAAUCUCAACCCCCACGUGCUUUUUUUUUUGAUGUGUGCCGCAGUAAGUUUUACAUCUGAGUAUCUUUACGAACCAUAGAAAAGGCUUUUCUUACGAAGAUAAAAUGUUCCCCACCAUCUGUGCACUAGAAAUAACAUAGAACGCCCUUUUCCUGUUCUGUGAGAAAUUUUUCCAUGUAUCGGUAUUUGUAAGAGAACAAAACCAGAAAGUUACCUAUGAAAGCAGUUAGGAGUACUGGGAGGUAAGCGGUGCUUUUGAAGGCUUUUAAUCCUCUUUUCCCCCAUAGCAGCUACACAUUAUUUAUUACUAGGGGUAACUUUGUAAUGUGUUGGGUGUAUUCCAAAGAAAACAAGAAACUGCACUCAUGGUGUCAAGCAACGCCGAUACCCACACUGAAAAAUGUAGCCUCCAGACUGGAGACCAAAGCUUUAUCCCCAAAUACUUGUUGUUAUGUUGCAUGCUAUAUUGUAAAUAAAGUAGGCAAGUACAAACAAGAGUUCAGAAGAUUAUAUCUGGUGGUAGAUGACCGUGAUUUAAUCAGCUUUUUGUCCACUACUCUACUUCGUAUUUUACGUAUGGGGUCAGAGUCUGCUGUUGUGCUGGUAGAAACAACAAUGCUACUAAGGUUAACAAAAAAUAAUAGCAAGUUAAUUUUUGCUCUGUAAAGCAAAAAUGAAGUAGCUCAAUACUGGACUACUAUGCAGCAACAACAGUCCAAAUAAUUGUGUCAGAGGGGUUGAUUUUGGGGUGGUUUGGGUUUGUUUUUUGUUUAGUUUUGGGUUUUUUUUAGCUUUCUAAAACUACAAAUUAUUACCGUGAUCGUGUCAUUUGACUUGCUAAUCCAGAUCAUAGAUGUUCUUCUGCCAAGCCUUUAUGUUGUAUUCAUAGCAUUAUGUCCUUCCCUUACAGCUGUGUUUGGAAAAUACCUCUGAAUUCCAGCAUUUUUUUCAAAUAUUUUCUAUUAACUGUCCAACUGAGAUGAGACAACAGAGGAGAAAAACCACUGAAACUUUCAGAGAGGUUGAUCUCUUUGCAAACUGAGCAUCCAAAGAAAGUUUUCUCAAAACUUUUGCAGUAACUUGUAGCGGAGACGUGCAGCAUCAAAAAUUAGGAGCUUGUGGAAAUCCUGCCGAGCCCUUACCUACAUCUUAAGGCAGCUCUUUGAAAAUCUGGGCUCUAGGCCCAGCGCUGCCAAGAGUUCGCUGUGGCAAGACUCCUCCUCCUGCCUGGGGCUGACUGCAGGAUAGCUAUUUUAAUAGCUGAGGCUUUCAAAACAGCCUAAAGCAGUCAGGAAAAAAUAAUGUAAUAAGCGGCAAGUAGAUGAGUUCCCAGAUGAUUGAUUCUGGAGACCUUACAGAGAUAGAAAUUCUGAUUUGUGAACGGCUGGAAAGGAAAAGCGAUGGCUGGAGAUGUACUUUCUAAUAGGCUUUGGGCUGGUUUCUCCCUUGUGCAAUUUUGUGUGUGGUCACUUUUUGGCAAAAGGGAGGUCCCAGCUCACCGUGGUAUGUGCUCUAUACGCCCUUUGGACGCGUGUCAAAAGUCACAUGUGAUUAAUAUCUCUCAACUUUGCAGUAUUAAAGAUGUAGGAAUGUAGUAAAAA